This 440-nucleotide ribosomal RNA is filed under the name uncultured Duganella sp. RNAcentral's name for it is "bacterial SSU rRNA". It matches the Rfam family "Bacterial small subunit ribosomal RNA", at positions 358 to 790 of the family's 1533-position model. Lineage: Bacteria; Pseudomonadati; Pseudomonadota; Betaproteobacteria; Burkholderiales; Oxalobacteraceae. The record is from RNAcentral.
GGAAUUUUGGACAAUGGGCGCAAGCCUGAUCCAGCAAUGCCGCGUGAGUGAAGAAGGCCUUCGGGUUGUAAAGCUCUUUUGUCAGGGAAGAAACGGUGUUUUCUAAUACAGAACGCUAAUGACGGUACCUGAAGAAUAAGCACCGGCUAACUACGUGCCAGCAGCCGCGGUAAUACGUAGGGUGCAAGCGUUAAUCGGAAUUACUGGGCGUAAAGCGUGCGCAGGCGGUUUUGUAAGACUGUCGUGAAAUCCCCGGGCUCAACCUGGGAAUGGCGAUGGUGACUGCAAGGCUAGAGUUUGGCAGAGGGGGGUAGAAUUCCACGUGUAGCAGUGAAAUGCGUAGAUAUGUGGAGGAACACCGAUGGCGAAGGCAGCCCCCUGGGUCAAAACUGACGCUCAUGCACGAAAGCGUGGGGAGCAAACAGGAUUAGAUACCCUGG